AGGAUGAACGCUGGCGGUCUGCUUAACACAUGCAAGUCGAACGGAGUACCUCGGUACUUAGUGGCGGACGGGUGAGUAACGCGUGAGAAUCUGCCCUUAGGUCGGGGACAACCAUUGGAAACGAUGGCUAAUACCGGAUAAGCCGAGAGGUAAAAGAUUAAUUGCCUAGGGAAGAGCUCGCGUCUGAUUAGCUAGUUGGUGAGGUAAAGGCUCACCAAGGCAUCGAUCAGUAGCUGGUCUGAGAGGAUGAUCAGCCACACUGGGACUGAGACACGGCCCAGACUCCUACGGGAGGCAGCAGUGGGAAUUUUGCGCAAUGGGGGAAACCCUGACGCAGCAACGCCGCGUGGAGGAUGAAGCCCCUUGGGGUCGUAAACUCCUUUCGAUCGGGAAGAUAAUGACGGUACCGAUAUAAGAACGCCCCGCUAACUUCGUGCCAGCAGCCGC
Molecule: ribosomal RNA, 447 nt
Filed under: uncultured bacterium
Lineage: Bacteria
Description: SSU rRNA
Rfam family: Bacterial small subunit ribosomal RNA
Source: RNAcentral